GGUAGUCCACGCCGUAAACGAUGUCGACUUGGAGGUUGUUCCCUUGAGGAGUGGCUUCCGGAGCUAACGCGUUAAGUCGACCGCCUGGGGAGUACGGCCGCAAGGUUAAAACUCAAAUGAAUUGACGGGGGCCCGCACAAGCGGUGGAGCAUGUGGUUUAAUUCGAUGCAACGCGAAGAACCUUACCUACUCUUGACAUCCACGGAAUUUGGCAGAGAUGCCUUAGUGCCUUCGGGAACCGUGAGACGGGUGCUGCAUGGCUGUCGUCAGCUCGUGUUGUGAAAUGUUGGGUUAAGUCCCGCAACGAGCGCAACCCUUAUCCUUUGUUGCCAGCGGUUAGGCCGGGAACUCAAAGGAGACUGCCAGUGAUAAACUGGAGGAAGGUGGGGAUGACGUCAAGUCAUCAUGGCCCUUACGAGUAGGGCUACACACGUGCUACAAUGGCGCAUACAAAGAGAAGCGACCUCGCGAGAGCAAGCGGACCUCAUAAAGUGCGUCGUAGUCCGGAUUGGAGUCUGCAACUCGACUCCAUGAAGUCGGAAUCGCUAGUAAUCGUAGAUCAGAAUGCUACGGUGAAUACGUUCCCGGGCCUUGUACACACCGCCCGUCACACCAUGGGAGUGGGUUGCAAAAGAAGUAGGUAGCUUAACCUUCGGGAGGGCGCUUACCACUUUGUGAUUCAUGACUGGGGUGAAGUCGUAACAAGGUAACC
This 712-nucleotide ribosomal RNA is filed under the name uncultured bacterium. Its description in RNAcentral is "bacterial SSU rRNA". It matches the Rfam family "Bacterial small subunit ribosomal RNA", at positions 789 to 1501 of the family's 1533-position model. The record is from RNAcentral.